This 55-nucleotide transfer RNA is filed under the name Fasciola sp. GHL-2014. RNAcentral describes it as "tRNA-Ser". The record is from RNAcentral. Lineage: Eukaryota; Metazoa; Platyhelminthes; Trematoda; Plagiorchiida; Fasciolidae.
GAGGAUUUUUUGGUUGUCGCUGCUAACGAUGAUUUGGGUUUUGGCUCGAUUCUCU